AGGCGCUCCCUGCGGCGGUAACGGCAGCGAUAGGGGCACGGGGCUACCUGCGCCCCGCGGCGCCUCACGUGACGCUGCGUGACGUCACGACAGCGCCGCCGCCUCUCGCGUGCUUUCCCGUGAAGUCCCAGGGGGCGCGGAGGGCGGGAAGGAAAGGAGUCGGCCAAUGGGAGAGCGAGGGGGCGGGGCCUCCGGGCAGGGCGGGGCCGCGGCGCUGAGGGGCGGGGCGGGAGCGGGACGGGGGCGGGAGGGGCGGUGCUUCAGCCGGGGCUGAGGGCCUGAAGAGCGGAGCAUGCGUUUGAAAGUUUGCAGCGUGGUUGCUUGGCUCAUGCUGGAGGAUGCUGGGGCCAGCUGGAGUCCACCACGUGCUCCGCGCAGGGGCAGGCCCAGGCUCUCCAGGCGGCCGGGAGCGUGGAGGAUCGGCUGCCACCCGUGUUCCAGGGGAGGGAGCAGAGAAAAGUGAACAACAACUUCCCAUUUUCUUCCCAUGACAACACACACUUUCUACAGAAUGUAGGAGAGGAUUUUAAUUUUGGUAUGGGCCGAAGGAAGGUGGAACCACAGAGAGGGCAGCAGAAUCAUAAGAAUCACAGAAUUGCUCAGCCCCUUCAACUUCAGGAUCAAUGGUAUCACUACCUCAUGCAGCUGACAGCGUCUGUGUUGACAGAAGCAUAUAAUGGAACAGAGUCUUUGAAGGUUCACCACAGCAGGGAACAAAACCAGCAUGUUCAGAUCUGAGAAAUGCUGCUCUCACUUGGACUACAUGGCCUUCUGCAUGCAGAAGCAGAGCCCACUACUGCUUAUCUGUUCGAUGAGCACACCCAGAGAUGGAGACACGGAGAUGGCCUGGAACCAUGGUGGAUAGUAGCACCUGAUGUUCCCUAUUGCUUUCCUGUAGCCUCUAAGAAGCACAUAGGCAUCUUCUCGUGAAAAGGAAACCCACUGGUGAUCUAGUAAAUAUAAAAACCACCUCUUCCUCAAGAAAAGCUUCAUUUGCAAAUAGCCUGGAAAUGGGAUUACUGGUCUGACCACCCUAGAAGAGAGGACACCGCCCAGGUUAGAGCUGGGGUGAGGCUAUUCUUAUGUUAAACUUCAGCAGAUUGGAUUACUCUCUAGGGGCACUUAAAUUUUGUAUAUAGCCACCGGGAAGAAGGAAAUGCGUCCAUAAAAUGGAUUGGAUUGAUCUCUGUGAUUCUUCAGCUUUUCUGUUAACUACCUUAAAGAUGAGGCCAUUCCAUGAGAUGAACCUCCCUGCCCCUGCUCACUGCCCCUGGCUGCAGGUACCCGAAGCCUCUGUCAGACAGCGACUGAGAUGGGUGGUCAGAGGGACUGUCAGAUGAUCCCCUUCAGAAUAAUCAUUUCAGACACUCCCAGCCAUGUUAGGAAUACGAUCUGUACUACGCCUGGAAAAUUGGACCCUUUCCUUUUUUUUUGGCAGGUUUAUUU
This 1446-nucleotide long non-coding RNA is filed under the name Numida meleagris (helmeted guineafowl). Its description in RNAcentral is "lncRNA (ENSNMEG00000012696.1)". Lineage: Eukaryota; Metazoa; Chordata; Aves; Galliformes; Numididae. The record is from RNAcentral.